Molecule: ribosomal RNA, 165 nt
Filed under: uncultured Bacillus sp.
Lineage: Bacteria; Bacillati; Bacillota; Bacilli; Caryophanales; Bacillaceae
Description: partial 16S ribosomal RNA
Rfam family: Bacterial small subunit ribosomal RNA
Source: RNAcentral
UAGGGAAUCUUCCGACAAUGGGACGAAAGUCUGACGGCAGCAACGCCGCGUGAGUGAUGAAGGUUUUCGGAUCGUAAAGCUCUGUUGUUAGGGAAGAACAAGUACCGUUCGAAUAGGGCGGUACCUUGACGGUACCUAACCAGAAAGCCACGGCUAACUACGUGC